This 463-nucleotide ribosomal RNA is filed under the name Vreelandella stevensii. RNAcentral's name for it is "partial 16S ribosomal RNA". It matches the Rfam family "Bacterial small subunit ribosomal RNA", at positions 338 to 795 of the family's 1533-position model. The record is from RNAcentral. Lineage: Bacteria; Pseudomonadati; Pseudomonadota; Gammaproteobacteria; Oceanospirillales; Halomonadaceae.
CCUACGGGCGGCUGCAGUGGGGAAUAUUGGACAAUGGGGGGAACCCUGAUCCAGCCAUGCCGCGUGUGUGAAGAAGGCCCUCGGGUUGUAAAGCACUUUCAGUGAGGAAGAACGCCUGGUGGUUAAUACCCAUCAGGAAAGACAUCUCACAGAAGAAGCACCGGCUAACUCCGUGCCAGCAGCCGCGGUAAUACGGAGGGUGCGAGCGUUAAUCGGAAUUACUGGGCGUAAAGCGCGCGUAGGUGGCUUGAUAAGCCGGUUGUGAAAGCCCCGGGCUCAACCUGGGAACGGCAUCCGGAACUGUCAAGCUAGAGUGCAGGAGAGGAAGGUAGAAUUCCCGGUGUAGCGGUGAAAUGCGUAGAGAUCGGGAGGAAUACCAGUGGCGAAGGCGGCCUUCUGGACUGACACUGACACUGAGGUGCGAAAGCGUGGGUAGCAAACAGGAUUAGAUACCCGGGUAGUC